Molecule: non-coding RNA, 1541 nt
Organism: Varroa destructor (honeybee mite)
Lineage: Eukaryota; Metazoa; Arthropoda; Arachnida; Mesostigmata; Varroidae
Source: RefSeq, a predicted model, not a curated record
CCCAGCAGCCAACUUCAACAACACCGCUGUCUUGCAAACGUCUCUUUGAAUAGACGUCAAAAGAAUAACACCUUUAUUGCGACGUGAAUUCGCUGUGACAGGGGUUAGGUUAGCUAAAAAUACACGUUUUCUAACUACUCGUUAACCUUCGGAGCCGCUUACUGGACGGCUGUGUUACUUUUAGGAAGAGAACAACAGAAAAAGGGGAAUUUUAAAACGAUCGCACCCCUGAACUAUGUACGUCUGUCUAAAUCAAACUGAAUAAAGUUGCCAGUGAAAUUUGGUACUUUCGCCUUAGUAAUUGCCCCAGGUCGCAGCGGCUCUUUCUAGCAGCACCAAAUAAACCGUGUCUCCGCUCGAAUUCGAACCUAGAUGACCCCUCCAUGAGUGUCCCCAAUGUUCUGUAGACAGACAAGUUAGCUUUGUGCCAUCACGAAGGCAUUUGGCAUGCCUACUUCGAAUUAGGCUUUCUACUGAUAAGAGCAACAUAAUUGGGAAUUGCUCGAUGCUGGUCACCUGCAGCUAGAAUAACCUUUACCUCUGGGAGAAAACGAAGCAUCUGGUGCGCGAUGCCCAAAAGGAGCAAGGGUCGCGACAAAAAAGAGAAAAAGAAAAAGAAAAGCAGCAAAGGUGGGAAAGAUUUUGUUCGGAUCAGACUACGAAUAUACGAUGUGCAAACGACUUAAUAAAAAUAACGCGACCAACCUGGCUUUUUUUGUACAGUCUACAUUUGUACAUGUUUGUUAGCUUUGACGAUUUUAGCAAUUGAUUUUCUAGUAUUGUGCUAAGGAUAUAGGAAACAUGUGCUUUCCUUGACGCGCUGCUCUCUAUGCUGGACCCGGCGAAGGCCGUAUCAGGAGUUCCUAACUUAACCGAGUAGAUCUUAUUAACUACGUUUCUGUAUUUGUAUGUACUAACGUGAUACGGGAAUUUGUUUCUACAGGAAAAUCGAAAGGCAAAAAAAAAUCGACUCGCGGCUCCAGAUCAAAUGAAUCUGUGGCGUCUAUUUUGAGCGGGAGCUCACACGAAGAGGCUAGACGUCUUAAAGGCUCUGUCCCAUGUGGUUCUGUCCUUAGCACGGCAAACCUGCAAGGCUCAAUGAUGAAGGCUAAUAUGAUAGGGUCUCGACUAAUGGGCAGCACGUUGGGCGCGUGCCGUAUGGGUGAAUUGGGCAGGCUCAAAAGUUCGCAGCUUGUUGCAAAACCGAAUCUCGAGCAGAGUAUAAAACGAGCUAAACCUGGUCCCAUGUUGCGCCCCAUGCCAGUCCAACAAUCACAGCCCCCUAUUCCAGUCGAUCAAAGUAGCGAAGAAGACUGCGGUUACCAGCAGUAAUCGAUCUCCAACAUCGGAACCGUUCGACUAGAGACAAAAUUUGCUCAUGUAGCUAUCUGACUUCGAGCUUCAACGGAAGGAAGAAUUACAACGUUGAUAUACGUUGAAGAUCUAUACGGCGUCGGUAGUUCGUUGGCGCAUAACAAAUCGCGCAACUAUUGCUAAUAAUAACAAGAAAAACGCGUCCGUUCAAGGCUUAUCAACCUUCC